Molecule: ribosomal RNA, 460 nt
Filed under: uncultured bacterium
Lineage: Bacteria
Description: partial 16S ribosomal RNA
Rfam family: Bacterial small subunit ribosomal RNA
Source: RNAcentral
CCUACGAGAGGCAGCAGUGAGGAAUAUUGGUCAAUGGGCGGAAGCCUGAACCAGCCAAGUAGCGUGCAGGAUGACGGCCCUACGGGGUGUAAACUGCUUUUAUACGGGAAUAACGCGCCUUACGUGUAGGGCUUUGCAUGUACCGUAUGAAUAAGGACCGUCUAAUUCCGUGCCAGCACCCGCGGUCAUCCGGCAGGUCCGGGCGUUAUCCGGAUUUAUUGGGUUUAAAGGGAGCGUAGGCCGCAUGUCAAGCGUGCUGUGAAAUGUCCGGGCUCAACCCGGGCCUUGCAGCACGAACUGGGGUGCUUGAGUCCGCGGAAAGCAGGCGGAAUGCGUCGUGUAGCGGUGAAAUGCUUAGAUAUGACGAAGAACCCCGAUUGCGAAGGCAGCUUGCUGCAGCGGAACUGACGCUGAUGCUCGAAAGCGCGGGUAUCGAACAGGAUUAGAUACCCCGGUAGUC